GCGAAUGGCUCAUUAAAUCAGUUAUCGUUUAUUUGAUAGUACCUUACUACUUGGAUAACCGUGGUAAUUCUAGAGCUAAUACAUGCUGAAAACCCCAACUUCGGGAGGGGUGUAUUUAUUAGAUAAAAAACCAACGCCCUUCGGGGCUUCUUGGUGAUUCAUGAUAACUUUACGGAUCGCAUGGCCUUGCGCCGGCGACGGUUCAUUCAAAUUUCUGCCCUAUCAACUUUCGAUGGUAAGGUAUUGGCUUACCAUGGUUUCAACGGGUAACGGGGAAUUAGGGUUCGAUUCCGGAGAGGGAGCCUGAGAAACGGCUACCACAUCCAAGGAAGGCAGCAGGCGCGCAAAUUACCCAAUCCCGACACGGGGAGGUAGUGACAAUAAAUACUGAUACAGGGCUCUUUUGGGUCUUGUAAUUGGAAUGAGUACAAUUUAAACCUCUUAACGAGGAACAAUUGGAGGGCAAGUCUGGUGCCAGCAGCCGCGGUAAUUCCAGCUCCAAUAGCGUAUAUUAAAGUUGUUGCAGUUAAAAAGCUCGUAGUUGAACCUUGGGUCUGGCUGGCAGGUCCGCCUCACCGCGUGUACUUGUCCGGCCGGGCCUUCCUUCUGGAGAACCUCAUGCCCUUUACUGGGCGUGUUGGGGACCAGGACUUUUACUUUGAAAAAAUUAGAGUGUUCAAAGCAGGCCUUUGCUCGAAUACGUUAGCAUGGAAUAAUAGAAUAGGACGUGCGGUCCUAUUUUGUUGGUUUCUAGGACCGCCGUAAUGAUUAAUAGGGACAGUCGGGGGCAUCAGUAUUCAAUUGUCAGAGGUGAAAUUCUUGGAUUUAUUGAAGACUAACUACUGCGAAAGCAUUUGCCAAGGAUGUUUUCAUUAAUCAGUGAACGAAAGUUAGGGGAUCGAAGACGAUCAGAUACCGUCGUAGUCUUAACCGUAAACUAUGCCGACUAGGGAUCGGGCGAUGUUCUUUUUCUGACUCGCUC
This 982-nucleotide ribosomal RNA is filed under the name Galiicola baoshanensis. RNAcentral's name for it is "SSU rRNA". It matches the Rfam family "Eukaryotic small subunit ribosomal RNA", at positions 89 to 1081 of the family's 1831-position model. Lineage: Eukaryota; Fungi; Ascomycota; Dothideomycetes; Pleosporales; Phaeosphaeriaceae. RNAcentral also lists the same sequence under 1 other name. The record is from RNAcentral.